Molecule: unclassified non-coding RNA, 328 nt
Filed under: soil metagenome
Description: partial contains 5.8S ribosomal RNA, internal transcribed spacer 2, and large subunit ribosomal RNA
Rfam family: 5.8S ribosomal RNA (bases 1-120)
Source: RNAcentral
GAUGAAGAACGCAGCGAAAUGCGAUAAGUAAUGUGAAUUGCAGAAUUCAGUGAAUCAUCGAAUCUUUGAACGCACAUUGCGCCCCCUGGUAUUCCGGGGGGCAUGCCUGUCCGAGCGUCAUUACAACCCUCAAGCUCAGCUUGGUGUUGGGCCCCGCCGCCCCGGCGGGCCCUAAAGUCAGUGGCGGUGCCGUCCGGCUCCGAGCGUAGUAAUUCUUCUCGCUCUGGAGGUCCGGUCGUGUGCUUGCCAGCAACCCCCAAUUUUUUAAGGUUGACCUCGGAUCAGGUAGGGAUACCCGCUGAACUUAAGCAUAUCAAUAAGCGGAGGA